GAUCCUGGCUCAGGAUGAACGCUAGCGACAGGCUUAACACAUGCAAGUCGAGGGGCAGCACGGUGUAGCAAUACACUGGUGGCGACCGGCGCACGGGUGAGUAACACGUGUGCAACCAACCCCGUACCGGGAGAUAACCCGCGGAAACGUGGGCUAACAUCCCAUAAUACUGGAGGAUCGCAUGAUCUUUCAUUUAAAAUUCCGGUGGUACGGGACGGGCACGCGCGACAUUAGGUAGUUGGCGGGGUAACGGCCC
RNAcentral lists this ribosomal RNA (256 nucleotides) under uncultured bacterium. RNAcentral describes it as "partial 16S ribosomal RNA". It matches the Rfam family "Bacterial small subunit ribosomal RNA", at positions 15 to 266 of the family's 1533-position model. The record is from RNAcentral.